RNAcentral lists this ribosomal RNA (466 nucleotides) under Pseudomonas sp. oral taxon D11. Its description in RNAcentral is "bacterial SSU rRNA". It matches the Rfam family "Bacterial small subunit ribosomal RNA", at positions 30 to 490 of the family's 1533-position model. The record is from RNAcentral. Lineage: Bacteria; Pseudomonadati; Pseudomonadota; Gammaproteobacteria; Pseudomonadales; Pseudomonadaceae.
AUUGAACGCUGGCGGCAGGCCUAACACAUGCAAGUCGAGCGGUAGAGAGGAGCUUGCUCCUCUUGAGAGCGGCGGACGGGUGAGUAAUGCCUAGGAAUCUGCCUGGUAGUGGGGGAUAACGUUCGGAAACGGACGCUAAUACCGCAUACGUCCUACGGGAGAAAGCAGGGGACCUUCGGGCCUUGCGCUAUCAGAUGAGCCUAGGUCGGAUUAGCUAGUUGGUGAGGUAAUGGCUCACCAAGGCGACGAUCCGUAACUGGUCUGAGAGGAUGAUCAGUCACACUGGAACUGAGACACGGUCCAGACUCCUACGGGAGGCAGCAGUGGGGAAUAUUGGACAAUGGGCGAAAGCCUGAUCCAGCCAUGCCGCGUGUGUGAAGAAGGUCUUCGGAUUGUAAAGCACUUUAAGUUGGGAGGAAGGGCGGUAAAUUAAUACUUUGCUGUUUUGACGUACCGACAGAAUAAG